Molecule: ribosomal RNA, 445 nt
Filed under: uncultured bacterium
Lineage: Bacteria
Description: partial 16S ribosomal RNA
Rfam family: Bacterial small subunit ribosomal RNA
Source: RNAcentral
GUAAGGAAUAUUGGGCAAUGGAGGCAACUCUGACCCAGCCAUGCCGCGUGAAGGAUGACGGCCCUCGUGGUUGUAAACUUCUUUUGUACGGGAAUAACCCUCCGAACGUGUUCGGAGCUGAAGGUACCGUAAGAAUAAGGAUCGGCUAACUCCGUGCCAGCAGCCGCGGUAAUACAGAGGAUCCAAGCGUUAUCAGGAUUUACUGGGUUUAAAGGGUGCGUAGGCGGAUGGAUAAGUCAGUGGUGAAAGCCGACAGCUUAACUGUAGAACUGCCAUUGAUACUGCAAGUCUGGAGUAUGGUUGAGGUAGCUGGAAUGGGUCAUGUAGCGGUGAAAUGCUUAGAGAUGACACAGAACACCAACGGCGAAGGCAGGUUACCAACCCAUUACUGACGCUGAGGCACGAAAGCGUGGGGAUCAAACAGGAUUAGAAACCCCUGUAGUCC